Misgurnus anguillicaudatus (oriental weatherfish) is the source of this 1569-nucleotide non-coding RNA. The record is from RefSeq and is a predicted model, not a curated record. NCBI's taxonomy places the organism in Eukaryota, Metazoa, Chordata, Actinopteri, Cypriniformes, Cobitidae.
ACCAGACAAACCCCAGAGGUAAGUAAAAUAUAGAAAUAGAAACUUUAUUUAAAUUAUUUAAAACUAAAGUGGGGAAUGGGAAAGGGAAUCUAAAAAUCUCGCUUCUCGCCCUCAGGGGGAGUAUUACGGGGCCAUGGACGUUGGAGGGGUUUCCACGUGACUUCAGCUGGAACACCGCUACAGAGCGUAUCUGGGUGGGUUGGGCACACACCGUCGCGGCGGCCCCUGAUGGCAUCCACAAGGGUCCAAGACCCUCCUAAGCUCCUAGCCAUAGCAGAACUACGUAUUUCAGCACCCGAAGGACUAACAACCCAGCCGGCAUCUGCAGCGUAUAUCCAACGCGAUCAAACUUCACUCUGACACGUAACUUCCUAUACACAACCACGCCGUCCAUUCGCCCGGACCAGCCCCGCACUCUUUCCGCCCGCUACCAAGCGGUCGCCGGAUCAGCAGAGCCUGCGGACUCUUCGGAGGCUGGUCUUCGUUGUGCUGCCCAAGGCGGAAGUUGACUCGCCCGAAAAUCGACCCUUCCGGUAACUUCUACCUUCUCUCUUUAUAUCCUCCUCCCAGGCGUGGCUCGCCCAACCAUCGCUCGCCACGUCACUCACACAGCUGUGCCUUGUUUCAGCGAGUGCGGGGAUUCCCGGGGAACCCUGAAGUGCCGGUGUCUGUACAAACCGGUCCGGGCGGAACCUCUUCACUCUCCUUUUGGUUCCGCCCCGCAUAGUCCCUCCGUGACAACUGUUUGCGUUUUUUUUUCUCCUCAAUGUUCAAUACCCUUUUGCCAUUAAGCACACAGUGACUUUAAUUUAUAAAAUAUAUGCUUAAGUUUUAAUACCUGUACAAAACAAAUGUACAAUCAACUUGUGUAAAUUGUCAUUCUAUUUAAUAGAUUGUUCAUGAAUUGUCUUUAAAUGCAUUGUGAUUUCGGUAACACUUUACAAUAAAGUUCAUUAGUUAACAUUAGUUAAUGUAUUAACUAACUUGAACAAACCAUAAGCAAUACAUUUGUUACAGUAUUUAUUCAUCUUUGUUAAUGUUAGUUAAUAAAAAUUUAAGCUUUAAUUGCUUGUUCAUGUUAGUUCAGAGUGCAUUAACUAAUGUUAACAAGAUUUUAAUAAAGUAAUUGUUGAAAUUAACAUUAACAAAGAUUAAUAAAGGCUGUAUAAGUGCAGUUCAUUAUUAGUUCAUGUUAACUAAUGUAGCUAACUAAUGUUAACUAAUGAACCUUAUUGUAAAGUGUUACCGUGAUUUCUUUUCAUCAUUUCAGACACAUGUAAAAGUUACUAAAAAUUAAUACUGCAUAUACUGUACAGUAUCUAUGCGUAAGGGAAAUAACUUGAACAAAAUUUUUAAUGUAUAGUGUAAUUAAGAGUUUAGCUGUUUAAUACAGAGAUGCAAUUUAUUUAUAUAUAUUAUUUAUAUAUAAACGUAUGUAUGUUUAUUAAAAAGUGAAAAUGCUUAAUGGAAAUAAUUAAAUAACUAAAUGGUUGAAUGUAAUGAGACAUUUUAAAUGUAAACUAAAGUUUUGCUGUCUAAUACAGAAUAAAGAGAUGUGAUUUUAAGUAA